GGAUCACCUGGAGCACUUGGACCGUCUGGAGGACAGUGGAGCGAUCUUCUCAUUGUCUCAUUGUCUGGUUACAUUUCCCCAUUUUCGCCUGUUUAAUUGUGGGGCUAGCCAGGGCUGCUCCCAGCUUACCUGGAAUCACUUUCAUUUAUAGUAUCCCCAUAGGUUGGCUUUAUUUUGGGUGCGUGCAGUGCUGUUGGCCAAAUUUUAAUCUAGCCUUGGGCGGGAGCACUAUUUUGAGUUCCUUUAAUAUUGCAAUGAGACAAAAAAGGCAGAGAGCAGAAGCAGGGAGGCCUGCACGGCCUGCACAUAUCAUGCAAGCCUAAACCUGCUACAGUUAGCAGUACAGUAAAUUGUUAAGUUUCUGUGACAUGUGACUCAUUCUCUCUAUUAAGAAUGUAUCUGUUUGUUUGCAGGUUCACUUGUUGCUAAUGUAUAUCUUAGGCAGACAGAGUGGAGCCAGAGGGUCUCUGUGCCACCAAUGAGCACUCUUUGUAUGCUCUUUAACUAUGCUGUUUCUGAACAAGUUUAUUUUCUUCAAGUUUGUUUUUCCCUGAUAGUGGCGACUGCUGUUUUAGAGACGAGCCAUUGUGGCUUAGUGGCUAGAGUACAGGACUAGGACCUGGGAGACAGGGUUCAUAUCCCCCACUUAGCCAUUGUUAUAACAAAGCAAAACAAGCUGCUCCUUUUGGACUAUUUUGUUGCUGGGUAGUUUGGCCCAUUUGUGAUAUUGCUCCCAAAAAGAACUUUGGGUUUCUUGAGGAGGUGCUUCCCUCUAAAGGGCAAGCAGGGGUACCUGGACAGGCGGUGGGCUGCCUCGAGUUUGUUAUCUCAUUGGAAACAUUUAUGUCUGGCCUAGCAGGGGAUCCUAGGGCUUGGCCCGCUUGGCCAUAGAAUUUGAUGGCCUCUGGCAGCGUUUCUGGCCUGAAUAGCGUCCCCAUGUGGUGCACAAAACAUUGGUUUCACGUGUUCCUCACAUUGUUUAGGUUUUUUCUUUUUGCAGACAGGGCCUUUGCAGAUGCCUCCAGAGCUUGCCUCUCCUGCAGAGGAUGACUUGCUGAUGCCCCAGGUGCCUUCUUCCAGAAGGAAGCGUCUUCAGAGGCAGGAAAAAGUGGAACAGGGAUGAUGCUUACACCUCCUUGCAGGUAAAUCAUCCCUGGGCUCUGAUGAUGAUUCAGACAUCACCUUGGACCUCUCCAGGGGUCAGGGUGAGGCUGUUCCGGGUCUUUAGGGAUCAUCCUGGAUAGCUCAGCUGGUCAGCGUAUGGUGCCGGUAAUGCCUAGGUUGCAGGAUCGGUCCCUGUAUGGGACAGCUGCAUGCUCCCUCAUCACUCUACCCGGACACUGAGGUCCAGCGUCGAGGGCCUUUCUGGUGGUUCCCUCACUGUGAGAACCCAAGUUACAGGGAACCAGGUGGAGGGCCUUCUCGGAAGUGGCACCCGCCCUGUGGUACACCCUCCCACCCGAUGUCUACUACCAGACUUUUAGAAGACAUCUAAGGCAGCCCUGUUUAGGGAAGCUUUUAAUGUUUGAUGCAUUAUUGUAUUUUAAUAUUUUGUUGGAAGCUGUCCAGAGUGGCUGGGGAAGCCCAGCCAGAUGGGCGGGGUACAAAUAGAUUAUUAUUAUUAUUAUUAUUAUUAUUAUUAUUAUUAUUAUAUUGUGGGAGAGUGGACUAGAUGAUCCUCGGAGUCCCUUCCCACCCCACUAUUCUAUAAGUGGUAAUUCACUAUGAUGGGAAUGUUAGACGCAGGGCUGCCAUCAUCCCCUCAGCUCGCUAGGAUCGCAGGGACGGGGACAUGUGGACCAAUUGAGCAGCUCCACAUUUGAAAUGGAAAUUCCCUGAGCAAUAGAACCUGAAGCUGGUAUGGAGGAAGCUGGCCCGGUGGCAGCUUUGUUGGGACUUCUUUAGGGUUUCUGGCCAGUGUUAGCCCUGUAAAUUUACACAUCAUGGUGGCAACACAAGGCAGGGCUUCUUGCCCAAGCGGGGGCUGGCAAGCAAUAACUCAAUACCUCUUGCCCAUAUUUCCAUAAAAAUAUCUCCCUUUAAAGCCUGGCUAAAAGGUUAUCUAGAUGGGUCAGUAGCUUUGUGCUUGUGGGAAGGGUUUUUCCCAAGGUGUUGGAUUCUUCUGGCUUUUCAGCCAGUGGCUCAGAAUACAGCAACUCAAAAGCCACUUAGAGAGCUACCUGUGGUAGCCAGAAAGAAGGUUAGGAAGCAGCUUGCAUUGGGACGUAUGGUGGGAUCCCCUUGAUUCUCCUUCUAGUCCCGAUUUUCAUUUAUCCCCAUUGGGGAUCGUCCCUAAAAAAGCCCCAUAUAAUUCCAUCUGAUCCAUAUUUAUCGCAUCCCAAAGGCACCUCAGUGAAUGAUGCUAUCCCUCCGGAAUUGUUCCGUGAAAUAUGCAUCUUUGGAUCAGGCAGUUGAGCUUACCAACAAAUUGGAGGAGGUGCCUUGUUGGCAUUAUGCGAUAUUGAAUCAGCUGUUAGGCUGCUGCCGGUUCACCCUCAAGAUUUUAAGUAGUUAGGCUUUAAUUGGAUGGUCCUUAUCUUGAUAAGGCGAUGCCAGUGGGUUGCUCAAUAGGCUGUGCAGCACUUGAGUCCUUUAGCACCUUUCUGGAUUGAACAUUGCGAGUCAAGACUCGUUUAACUGGGGGUAUCAUUAUGUGGAUUAUUUUACUGGCUGGUUCAUGUGACAUCAGCCUCUGCUUAGGCUUACUGGAUGCCCCUUUAUUCCCUGAGGAGCUGGGUGUUCUGUUGGCAGUGGAGGACAGUGGCUCCUACUGCCCCUUUUAACGUAUUUGGGGGCUAGCUGGAUACCGUUGCUCAAACAUCUGCUUGCCUGUGGAAAAGCUGUUUGCCUUGAAGGACGUUAUUCUUGUAAUACUUCCUCUGAAGCAAGUGUUGCUUUGUCAGAUCCUAUCAUUCCUAGGUCAGUUACAUUUUGCAUGCAGGGUGGUUGCUCCAGGCUGCCCCUUCCAUUCCUGCUUGGCCAGGUGGUCUCAUGGCCCGGGGUCCCUUCAUCAUCAUGUACAGUGGCCUUGAGCCUGGCAGGGCAAGGCAAUCACAUGUGACCUAACUUUUCUCGAGUUUUCCCCAUUGUAGUGUCAGCGCACAUCUGGACUGAGGAGUUUAGGGACCGUCGGGUCUGUCUUGGUCUGAUAACCAGGCAGUGUGAGAGUCCUGGCAAAACGGUCCUCAUGCUCUGGCAGAGUCUUCGCACUGCUUAAGGUUUAAUAUUGCAUUUCUGCUCGCUUUAUUUCGGGAUUAUCUAAUGUUUUUGCUGUCGCUCUAUCCCGUUUUUUCAGUUGGAGAGCUUCAGAUCCUGGGCUCUGGACGCCCAGCUAUAGCCGGAUUUUUCUGGAGCUCCUGUGGCACUUGGCAAUAAUUAAUAAUUAUGAGGAGUAGUUAAGUUUCCCCAUCCGCUUUCAGGUCUUAUGAGAAGGCCUGGACUGAUUUCUUAAAAUUUAGCUGGCAGUCCUCGGCCAUUCAGAGGGACCUGCCCCCUUCCUCUGAGCAGGACCUGCAGUAAUUCGCCCACCUGCUGCAGAUCGGAUGCACUGUUAAAACUAUCAGAAUUCAGUCCGCUGCAAUGUCUGCUAGAGUAAAGCUUUAAUUUUUCAGAGACCCUUCUAAAAGUGUGUCGUGCGCAGGGUCUCGGAAGGUUGGAAUAGGCUCCAACCUUCACAGGACAGCAGGCAGGAAGCUGGUCAAUCUUUGACCUAUGCAGUAUCCGCAACAAGUUAAGACUUGUCGGCUGGUUCAAGAUCAAGACGAGACUUCUUUCAGUAUUCCAUUGUAAUUUUGGUGUACUUAUCAUUAAAAAAAAAAAAAAAGUAAUUUUGGUGUACUGAGGGUUGGGGAAAUUGUGUUGGAGCCAGCACGGGGCUGAGAGUUUGGAGGCUUAUUGCCUCAGGACAUUUCCUUAUCUGCUUUGGAGCUUGUCAUAAGUGUCUGGAGCUCUAAGUCAGACCUAGUGAGCAGGGUUGCCACCAUCAGGCUUCCAGUCACAGGUGAGGUGGGCCCUUGCCCUGUUAUUGGAUACCGGAAAUAUUUGGCUUUUCGUUCCCUGGGGCUGGCUCGAUCCUAGUGCACUGAAAUGGGUUCCGGUUCGACAGGCAUCUAAUUGCUCACGUCGUGUGCCAGUUAUUGCAGCCUGCGGCUUGCCUACCGCUGAACACGCCUCAUUCCUUCCGAAUAGGUGCUGCUGCAAAGGCUGUGCACUGGGGCCUGUUAGUAGACAGGAUUGUGAAUACGGGUCUGACGCUGACAAAGGUUAUGUCAGGAAGCGUCGCCAAUGAUGCCUGUGCUGAUGUCUGUCUGUUAUUCCUUUUUUCAUAGGAGCAGCUGUGCGCAUUUGGAUUGUCGGCCACAGCAUCAUGCACUGAGCUGGCAAGCACCCUGACGAGUCUGGACUGGGGGUGCCAUCUCGGCCUUCCUGCCCAUGUUUCUAGCUCCAGUCCGCAUCUGGAUUGUGGGGCACAGCAUCGUUUACUGGCCUGGCAUCAGAGCUAGGCAGUCUGGAAGGGGACUGGGUCUUGGCCUCCCGCAGCAUGUGCAGGUGUUGUGGAUGUCCAGGCGCAGAAUGCAGUGGAGCGAAUUCAUCCUGCUAAUUAAGCAGAGGGUGCUUUCGGAUGGCCCCCCCAUGGCAAUUGUGGUUCAGCUGGGGGAGAACGAUGUGGCAACUUAUGAUUGCUUUACUUUGCGCUCCACGAUUCAGAGAGAUUUGGGGGAAUUGGUGACCUUAAUACCCACAGUUAAAAUAUUUUGGUCACAAUUGCUGCAAAGGCGCAAUUGGCACGGUAUUUCUCGACCUGAAGCUGCUGAAAGGGCCAGGAAGCGCAUUAAUUCCGCAGUGUGUAAGAAGGUGGCAGAAUUGGGUGGAUUGGUUAUUUCCCGCCCGGAUAUUACCUUCAAGGCUCUGGCCCUUUACCGCAAUGAUGGAGUACAUCUCUCUGUACUGGGGAAUGAUGUUUGGUUGGAUGCGGUAACUGCAAGGUUGAAGGUUGGGUUGGGAUUGUGAGUGGUUGGCGGCGAGUGUAAAGGGCUCGAUUGGCGGUUAGGCAUUGGUUAUAAAUUGGUGGAGGAGGGGUUAGGAUAGGCUGGGCCUGCCCCUCCAUGGUUGCUGCGGAAAGGGAAUUCCGUUAAAGGAAUCCUGGGGCUUGCCAUCUUUUCAUCCAAUCCCUGGAAUGGGACUAGGGCCGGCAAGCCUUCGGGGAGCAUGCGGAUGAGAAUUGAGGGUCUGUGACUCAGCUCCAUUUCUCCCCGACUUGCUUUCCCCUGCACUGUCUUUCGGUGGUGCCCGGAAGUCAGUUCUGUCCCCAGGCGGGGGGACAGAUAGUCUUAACCAAUGCCUAAACAACCACUCACGGUUUUGUAUUUAAAUAAAGUUGUGGCCAAAAUUAUGCCAAAAACCUUAAACAAAAAUUAAGUGUGUGUUGUGAGUUAUUUGGGGGGUGGCUUGGGGACCUCGACACGUAACUCUGUGAGAAUGUCUACUAACACUGCUGGACCAUCCAGAACCUGAACUAAAACCCUCAGAUUUUUAAAGAGAAGGUGUGUUGCCCUCACUGCCUUCCCAUCUCCUCACUGCUCAGUGCUAGCGAUCUCUGCUGUCCGCCAUUGCCCGUGGCAGACCUGGAAGCUUGUGGAUGUAAUCUCAGAGCUUCUGUCUAUAAUCUUUGAGAAUUCUUGGAGAGCAGGUAAGGGCCCUGUGGACAGACAGAAGCUUCCUUGGAGGUUUUUAAGCAUAGGUUGUAUGGCCAUCUGCCAUAUAAUCUAGUUGAGAUUCUUGCAUUGCAGGGG
Molecule: long non-coding RNA, 5792 nt
Filed under: Podarcis lilfordi (Lilford's wall lizard)
Lineage: Eukaryota; Metazoa; Chordata; Lepidosauria; Squamata; Lacertidae
Source: RNAcentral